RNAcentral lists this long non-coding RNA (333 nucleotides) under Mytilus galloprovincialis (Mediterranean mussel). Lineage: Eukaryota; Metazoa; Mollusca; Bivalvia; Mytilida; Mytilidae. The record is from RNAcentral.
AAAGAAAGUGAUUUAUUUUGAGACUCAAAUCAUGUUUUGUAGUAAAUUUUUAAUAUUCCAUGUCUCAUUUAGGAUAGUAGAAUGCAUUAACUUACAAAGAAAAGGUUUGGGUAGAUAAUCAUAGCUGGAGUUCUAUCAUUAAGGUUUGCUUUAUACAUUUAUUAAAUCACUGAUUAUAUAUAUAUAUAUAUAUAACUCGUCUAAACAUCAACCCAACAAUGUUAGAUCUGUAAAUUUGCUUUCGCAAAUUUUUGGUUCUUCCCUCGCCGGGAUUCGAACCCAUGCUACUGUGAUAUCGUGACACCAAAUCGCAUGCACUGCAGCUGUCCCGCU